Fopius arisanus is the source of this 894-nucleotide long non-coding RNA. RefSeq lists it as uncharacterized. The transcript is spliced from 3 exons. Lineage: Eukaryota; Metazoa; Arthropoda; Insecta; Hymenoptera; Braconidae. The record is from RefSeq and is a predicted model, not a curated record.
UCGCAGGAGGCACCGACCUCCUCUUCCAGACCCCACAGUUGUAUACAUAUAACAACAUACGCCUUUUUCUCGGUUUACUUCUCUCUUUUUCAUUUCCAAGAAUGAGAAUAAAACCGAAAAGUCAAAUAAAACCGAAGCUAGUCAUUUUGUUAUCACUCAUUAAAAAUGUGAAACGUGUCAUUUGACUCAUCAUAUUAUCCAGAAUUAAAUUUUUAUCUACUAUCCAUUUUAUCAGUGAUCCCUUCUCUAAUAAAAAUUAUACAAUUUGCAAUUUUGCAUUUUUUCUAUAAUUAGAGUAGUUCGGGUAAUUUUGAUUUUUUAAGAUAAAUAAUGAGUUUAUGAUGUUUUUGUGAUGUGAUAGGAUAAUGAUGAGAGGAUUACACUGUUGCAAGUUUGUUCUCUGUUAUAAAUUGAGUUUGAGGGAUUUAAUUGUUGAAGAUGAAAAAAACAGAUAAUGGCCAGUGCCUCCUGGAGAUGGCCUGAAGUACGAUUACGCAAGUACUUGAGGUACACAAAACGAAAAAAAAAGGUAAAAAGUCUCGGAAAGUUCUGAAACAGCAGUGGAAGCAAUCGGGGCUUGAAAAAGAGUUUGAAAAAAAUGGAGGGAACUUUAAAGAGCCCAGAAAACGCAUACUCGAGGCUGGGGAUUUGUGCAGAGGAUGGGGCGAACAGGUUCUUGGUUGGUUACCGUGUAUUCACCAUGCUGAAAACCUUGGCUCCGAUCCACUCUGGACCAGAUUUCCGUGAGAGAUGAGAUCCCGUGACGAUCUCUGGAAGUGGCUGUUUAAUGAUCAUCCGAGAUAAAGUGAAAAUUGUGGUGAUUACUCCAACCAUGUCAAGCAUUCGAUGAUUUAAUUAUGAAAUCGUUAGCGUUCGGUUAUCGAGGAGAAAAAA